This 702-nucleotide long non-coding RNA is filed under the name Nicotiana benthamiana. Its description in RNAcentral is "long non-coding RNA (NBEN_LNC013856)". Lineage: Eukaryota; Viridiplantae; Streptophyta; Magnoliopsida; Solanales; Solanaceae. The record is from RNAcentral.
UCGUCACCAGAAUAGCCCUCUUUUGCCCAAAAAAAGUCCAAUACAACCCAAAAUUAGCUUUUUUCUCAACUAAAUGAACAAUAGCUUUUACCCAUGUUAAGCCAUCAAACAUCACCUCAAAUCGCCCCAAAUCAUCCUUUGUUUAUUGCUGAAAAACCGUCACCAAAAAUCAGCCAAAUCCCAGUACCUUUUAGCUGUAAAAAGCACAAAAAUCAGGCUUCAAAACAGCCAAAAAAAAAACAUUGCAGCUAAAAUCUGCCAAAAAAUACAGCAAAACCAAUUGUGAAGCUGCUGAAAACAGCGUCAAAUGACCCAAAAUAGUUGUUGAAAAUCUGCUCAAUUCCAUCUUUGAAACAACCCUCAAAAUUCGCCCAAAACUCGUGCAAAAAACCAAAAACGAGCACAUCGUCUUACUCCACUAAAAUAGUUGUUCAAACAACUACCAAACCGGCUCUCUUCCACCAUAAAAAUGCAGUAGCUUCCAUCUUCAUUCAUUUACCGAUGCUCUCUUGAGUUGAACAAGUCUGACGAGGCCGUUCGAGGUGCUGAGGUCGGUCGGCAAAAUUCCCGGUCAAGAGUUGAUUAAUCUUGGAUGUAAUUUUAACCCAGAUUCGUUUAUACAAAGGUCCAAUUUCUUAUCUUCAAUCUAUUUUAUUGAUCUAUUUGUGUGCCAAUUUUGUUUAGAAAUUUAGAUGUUGGUUU